UACAGAGGGUGCAAGCGUUGUUCGGAAUUAUUGGGCGUAAAGCGCGUGUAGGCGGCUUUGCAAGUCGGGUGUGAAAGCCCUCAGCUCAACUGAGGAAGUGCGCCCGAAACUGCAUGGCUUGAGUGCCGGAGAGGAUGGCGGAAUUCCCCAAGUAGAGGUGAAAUUCGUAGAUAUGGGGAGGAACACCGGUGGCGAAGGCGGCACUCUG
RNAcentral lists this ribosomal RNA (208 nucleotides) under uncultured bacterium. RNAcentral describes it as "partial 16S ribosomal RNA". It matches the Rfam family "Bacterial small subunit ribosomal RNA", at positions 524 to 731 of the family's 1533-position model. The record is from RNAcentral.